This is a long non-coding RNA of Felis catus (domestic cat), 1126 nucleotides long. RefSeq lists it as uncharacterized. The transcript is spliced from 2 exons. The record is from RefSeq and is a predicted model, not a curated record. Lineage: Eukaryota; Metazoa; Chordata; Mammalia; Carnivora; Felidae.
CAUCAGCCCAGAGCCCGACGCGGGGCUCGAACUCACAGACCGCGAGAUCGUGACCUGAGCUGAAGUCGGACGCCCAACUCACUGAGCCACCCAGGUGCCCCGCAGGGAAGCCAUUUAAAUAUGUCAAACCCAGUGCCCUCGUUAAACAAGCUCCCUCGCCCCUUCUGUUCAAGUGAGGACACAGCGAGAAAGACUACGAACCAGGAACGGGUUCUCACCAGACUGAAUCUGCGGGCACCUUGGUCUUGGAAGUCCCGGCCUCCAGCCCUGCGAGAAAUAAAUGCUUGUUUGUUUAAGCCACCCAGUCCACGGAUGUUUUAGUUACAGGAGCCUGGAUGCGCUAAGAGACCAGUGCGAUGAGAGAAGAUUCUCACGGCAGGAAAACGGUGCCUGCUGCCUUCUCACGUUGACACUGGAAUGUGAAUCUUCACCGUUGCUCCCUAGAAACGUUCGUGCACUUAUUCCUCAGGAUUGUUUUGUAAGUUAAAGAACAGCAACAGCAACAAUCCACCUGUUUGUCAUGAAAACAACAGCCCCAGAAAUACGUCUUUGCAGAUGUCAGUCACACUCUGAUCCUUGUAAGCAUCCCAGACGGAUUCAGGAAAUUAGAUAGCUGUCGUAUAAUGUCUUCUACUUUUCCCAAAAUGUCAUCUUCUACCAAAACGUUCAAGUCACAGACAUUUAUUCCUCUUCACAUGAAUGACGCUGAGUAUCUUAGCACGUGUUUAUACGCAUUUGUGUAUCCUUUUCUGCCAACUGUCCAGUCUUUGCCCACAUUCUCUGGCCUUAUUGGUCUCAUUGAUUUGAGCGUGCUAUUUGUAUUUUGCAUCAAUUAACCCUUCCUCUGUGAUGUGAAUUUCAAGUAUUCCCCAGUGUAUUUGCUUUUUGAUUAGCUUAUGUGGCUUUUUUUUUUUUUUGCUAUGAGAAAAUCUUUUUGUGUGUUUUGUUUUACAUAUAAUCCAAUUAUUUCUAUCAAAUAUAUUUUUAUACAUAAGUAUUUUAUAAGCAUAAUGGAAUUGAGAUGACAUUUCUAUAAUACGCUAACUUUCUAAAUUUUCUGGACUCUCUGCUCUCCCCCACUGAUAUGUCUGCCUAUUCAUUCACCAUUAACAUACUGUUUAAAUUA